AUUGAACGCUGGCGGAAUGCUUUACACAUGCAAGUCGAACGGUAACAGGUCUUCGGAUGCUGACGAGUGGCGAACGGGUGAGUAAUGCAUCGGAACGUGCCCAGUCGUGGGGGAUAACGCAGCGAAAGCUGUGCUAAUACCGCAUACGAUCUAUGGAUGAAAGCGGGGGAUCGCAAGACCUCGCGCGAUUGGAGCGGCCGAUGUCAGAUUAGCUAGUUGGUGGGGUAAAGGCCCACCAAGGCGACGAUCUGUAGCUGGUCUGAGAGGACGACCAGCCACACUGGGACUGAGACACGGCCCAGACUCCUACGGGAGGCAGCAGUGGGGAAUUUUGGACAAUGGGCGCAAGCCUGAUCCAGCAAUGCCGCGUGCAGGAAGAAGGCCUUCGGGUUGUAAACUGCUUUUGUACGGAACGAAACGGUCCUGGUUAAUACCCGGGCUAAUGACGGUACCGUAAGAAUAAGCACCGGCUAACUACGUGCCAGCAGCC
This 490-nucleotide ribosomal RNA is filed under the name uncultured bacterium. RNAcentral's name for it is "bacterial SSU rRNA". It matches the Rfam family "Bacterial small subunit ribosomal RNA", at positions 30 to 516 of the family's 1533-position model. The record is from RNAcentral.